GCAGGUGGCCGAGUUGGUGUAUGACGUCCGAACAUCACCAAAGGAUGUCGGAAGAUCCCGAGUUCGAUUCCCGGCCAAGCU
Molecule: non-coding RNA, 81 nt
Organism: Colletotrichum acutatum
Lineage: Eukaryota; Fungi; Ascomycota; Sordariomycetes; Glomerellales; Glomerellaceae
Source: the annotation of a RefSeq genome assembly